GAAGCUUUAUUCUUCUUGCUUUGCUUUGCUCUACUUUUCUUUAAAACUCCAAUCAGUUUCCUUCACAGACGCGCUAUCAGAGAGAAAUGAGAAUCUGGGAUUUCCUCAAGUCAAGCACAGAAGCAGUGAAGCGAAAUGUACUGGAUUUUAGUCCGGUUCGGGUGAAGACUGAAGAACGCCUUCCGAACCUCUUACAAUUACGGAUCCGCCGCCUGCACCAAGAUCGUUAAUGUCAUCGUAGGAAACAACCUCCAAAAGCUCAACCAGUGGUGUCUGGACGAUGUGGCCAAAUCUAAGAUCGGUAUCUUUGCUACAAGAUGUGCUAAAACUUUUGCCCUCAAUGCACUCUACGGGAGUUACAGAUAUUAUCCCGGUUUGCUUCCAUCUCAUAUACCACAGUUUCGUUUUAUUUUUUGUUUAUACUUUACCGAAAGGGAAAGACUGAGUAUUUUAUAUUUGCAUUUUAAUUUAAUCUUAAAAUGUCAACAAUAAGAGUGGUUCAUUCAUUUAUAUGUUAGAUCUAUAUUUUGAUGAUUAAUCGAAAUAAAAUUUAUCUUUUAACAAGUAAGACGGUGAUUCGUUUGAGUAGGCUAAUUUUUAAAUUUUUAUGCUCAAUAUUCGAGUCUUUAUCAAAUCAAGUUAUGUGUUUCAACCUAAUGGACUUUGGUACCAAGUCCGUCUUAAAAUUUCUUAUAUGUUGGUCUAUUUAUUAGUUGAUGUUCCUUAACACAGCUAACUUAAAGAGUGUUGCUAACUUGAUCGGCCGAUUGGGGUUGUCAACUAUACGUUACAUAAAGAUUUCUCUGUGCAACCCUUCUUCUUCUUCUCUUACUUCAUUUCUCUUUGUAAUGAAACCCUAAAGUCUAUAUUGUCAUUCCCUUGAACACUCAUUUUGUUAAAGUGGUAAUUAAAAUUUACAACAUUUUUAUUGGGCAUGUGGAGAAAAAGAGAGUAUUAUUAAAUUUCAAUAUUUGGGUGACUUUUUUCUCCAUUUUUUUGGAAUCAUUUCUUUAUUUCAAUAAUGACUUUGAAUUCAUUUUAUCAUUGGACUAAAGGUUUGAUAUGGAUUGCUACCCAACUCGAUCUUAUUACCCUAUUAGUUGAAGUGAAAUGUGUUCUAUUUGUUGAUUUUACAGUGAAAUACGCAUUACAGAAUGACUUACAUAUUGGUUUUUGCAAUUUAUAAAGACAUUCAUCUCGUUAUUAGUAUUGUAUGAAGUUUGACGAAAUUUUAAAAUGUUAAUGUUGAAUUGUAGUUAUGGACACUGUGGAAAUGGUAUGGAUAUCAGUUUGCUAUCCAAUUAAAUAUGAGCAGUCAAUUGAAGGUGUAUGGAGAUGGAAAUAUACAGAAAAUGGCAAAGGAGAAACAACGCCUAUUCUUGUUUUGGAAACAAUUUCUUAUGCAAAAUUGUAUGAUAAAGUCAAAGAGGUGUUGGAAAUCGAUACAAAUCUAUACAAAAUGGAGAUGUCAGCUCUUGUCCCUAUAAUGCGUGAGGCUCCAGCAGCACCGAUCAUCAUUGAUUGUGACAACAAUGUGAAGUGGUUUGUAUCUGUAUGUACGGAAACUUUUCUUUGCGUAACCAUUUCAAAAGAAAUUGAAAAUCACGAAGAAUUUGGUGAUGAUGAUGUUUAUUGCAAAUUGAGGGUGAAAAACAAUUUGGACAUAUGAAAAGCGAGGAGAACAUGUUCAAAUGGACGACGAUGUAACCAUGCCAAUGUUCAUUCCAUUUGCAUUAUUCCAUUUGCAUUGGCCAAGUAGCGGUUGUGACCCUUAAGGUUGUAAUAUUGUUGUGACUUGUAACUUUAUUGUUUUUUACUGUAUAAAACGACUUUAUCAUUGUUAUGUUGCUUUUUCAUGAUGUUAUUGCUUUCGUAUUAUUGGAACGAUGUUAAAGUCAUUUUACAUAGC
RNAcentral lists this long non-coding RNA (1909 nucleotides) under Olea europaea subsp. europaea. Lineage: Eukaryota; Viridiplantae; Streptophyta; Magnoliopsida; Lamiales; Oleaceae. The record is from RNAcentral.